AAAGAGAAAGUGUUGGAAUUCAAGGAUUUGAUCAAACAAAGGUAAAAUUUCUUUGAUUUUGCUAUUGAUUUACCUUACCCAUGCAUUUUCCCUUAAUUUUCAUGGUUAAAUUAAAUGUUUUCAUGAUGAAUUCAUGACUGGUCAAAAUGGGUAAGGAGAGAGAAAUAUGUUGGAUUGAAUUGAUUUUAAGAUAUGUUAGUGUUUUUCGUUAGUUUAACAUAUUUAGAAGUAAAACAACAAGAAAAUAAUCCAUUUUCCCCAUGAAUCUUCAUUGGUCGAAUCUUGUUUGAUGUGUGUGGGUGAUGGAUUGUUAUUGUUUCAAGAGAAAUGACUUAGAAAAUGAUGAAUAAUGGUGAGAAAAUUAAGUAGGAAAAAUCACGAUGCUAGUGCACUAUAAUGGCCGAAUUUUUCCAUGAAGAAAUGGGAGGGUUUUGAUGUUGAAAUUGGUGUUAUUUGAAUAAUGUUUGGUGAAUUGAGGUACUAGAAAUGAAAUGGAGCAAUUUGGAGCCAAAUCGGAUGCAAUUGUCAUUUAAUCGGGUAAUAGGCUAAAUUAGGUCAGCACCGCAUUUAAGCGGUAGUCGGAUAAGUUGCAUAUCAUAUCAUGCAUAUACACCGAGCCUGAAUUGAUUUUAUAAUGGUCAAGCAUUAAUGUGGUGAAUUAUGUAUUGUAUAUUAUGGAUAGGUUGUGAGUAAAUUACACUGGUAAAAGUACAGAGACUGUGCUUGAAGACUGGGAUUAGGAGUACAUCGACUCCUAAAACUGUGAGUAAACUUAUUAUCGUCUUAAUUAUCUAGAGUAGUUUUAUACAAUUGUGUGAUUUUAUAGAAAAUGGGUUUAAAUGGUAAAUUGCUACGUUUUAGGAGAAAUUAUGAUUUUAUAAAAUGAUUUUAUAAAUUUCCUAGAAAAUUGAAUAUUGGUUUUGAAAAUAGAGUAAUUAGAGACUGCCUGCUUGUGUUAUAAAUUGUGUUUUAAAUUAUAUGGCUUAUAGCAAUAUGUGAGCAUAAAUGGCAAAGUCGCUAUUUGUAUCAAAAUUAUAUAUACUAUGUAUUUAGCCUUGAGAGGCUAGAUUGCGAUAAAUUGCUAUGUCAUGCAGAUAAGGAUUUUAUAAAUCAGGUGGUAGAUAAAAUAAUCCAUAGUCACUGCAGUGGUGGGGGUUUCCAUGGACUACCUAUGAGAGGGGCAUGGUAACUCAAUUAUAUAUUUACCUCCGGGGGGAGAUGUUGGAUGAAGUAUCUCCUGAGGUAAAGAUUUGAGUGCACUUCACGUGGACCACCACGUGAGAGUGAGACUCAGCCAACGC
RNAcentral lists this long non-coding RNA (1301 nucleotides) under Theobroma cacao (cacao). RNAcentral describes it as "long non-coding RNA (TCAC_LNC005221)". The record is from RNAcentral. Lineage: Eukaryota; Viridiplantae; Streptophyta; Magnoliopsida; Malvales; Malvaceae.